This 435-nucleotide ribosomal RNA is filed under the name uncultured Flavobacterium sp. RNAcentral's name for it is "bacterial SSU rRNA". It matches the Rfam family "Bacterial small subunit ribosomal RNA", at positions 358 to 790 of the family's 1533-position model. The record is from RNAcentral. Lineage: Bacteria; Pseudomonadati; Bacteroidota; Flavobacteriia; Flavobacteriales; Flavobacteriaceae.
GGAAUAUUGGACAAUGGGCGCAAGCCUGAUCCAGCCAUGCCGCGUGCAGGAUGACGGUCCUAUGGAUUGUAAACUGCUUUUAUACAGGAAGAAACACUGGUUCGUGAACCAGCUUGACGGUACUGUAAGAAUAAGGAUCGGCUAACUCCGUGCCAGCAGCCGCGGUAAUACGGAGGAUCCAAGCGUUAUCCGGAAUCAUUGGGUUUAAAGGGUCCGUAGGCGGUUUAAUAAGUCAGUGGUGAAAGCCCAUCGCUCAACGGUGGAACGGCCAUUGAUACUGUUAGACUUGAAUUAUUAGGAAGUAACUAGAAUAUGUAGUGUAGCGGUGAAAUGCUUAGAGAUUACAUGGAAUACCAAUUGCGAAGGCAGGUUACUACUAAUGGAUUGACGCUGAUGGACGAAAGCGUGGGUAGCGAACAGGAUUAGAUACCCUAG